CAAAUGGCUUGAACAGCUGUCCUUCGUGGUAUGUACCGUAUGUGUAUGCAUCGGUACUGUACGUGCGUGUAGUAUUGUCACUCAUGGACAUGUUGUAAUGAAACCGUGCAGUACUUUUCUGGAAAAAGAAUCUUUGCUGUUAUAGCGGAUAGUGACCCCUUGAUAGAAGAAACAUUUUUAAUUAGGAGGGUGACAUUAGAAAAAUCUAUGGAUUCUAUACUAC
RNAcentral lists this ribosomal RNA (223 nucleotides) under Triticum aestivum (bread wheat). Its description in RNAcentral is "partial small subunit ribosomal RNA". The record is from RNAcentral. Lineage: Eukaryota; Viridiplantae; Streptophyta; Magnoliopsida; Poales; Poaceae.